AUGGGACGGAGCACACCUAACCCUAUAUUGUGUUAGAUAUGGAAGUUAGAUUGUCCGGCUAAAGUCAAUUUUUUAUGGCGGACACUACAUGGUACUCUCCCAUGUCGGGCAACACUCACUAAUAGACACAUGAAGGUCUCGCCCUCUUGCCCUACCUGCUCUCAGGGUGUAGAAGAUAUGAAGCACUUGCUUUUCCUUUGCAGAAAAGCGAAGGAGGUUUGGAAAAGGCUAGGGUUGGAUUUGAUUAUUGAGAGAGCUUGUGAGAUUGAUUGUGCUGGAGAGGCAACAUUGGAAUACCUAUUACUCCUUGCAGAUCAACAUCUGCGCAUUAUGGGGUACGAAAAUGUUCGAGAAAUGAUAGCUAUCUCAGCUUGCUAUCUAUGGUGGGAAAGA
Molecule: ribosomal RNA, 393 nt
Filed under: Triticum aestivum (bread wheat)
Lineage: Eukaryota; Viridiplantae; Streptophyta; Magnoliopsida; Poales; Poaceae
Description: partial small subunit ribosomal RNA
Source: RNAcentral